Long non-coding RNA from Thunnus maccoyii (southern bluefin tuna), 850 nucleotides. RefSeq lists it as uncharacterized. NCBI's taxonomy places the organism in Eukaryota, Metazoa, Chordata, Actinopteri, Scombriformes, Scombridae. The record is from RefSeq and is a predicted model, not a curated record. The transcript has 2 exons.
AGCUAUCUGGAUAACUGCUCCUUCCUACAACGUAAGGCUUUGUGCUGAAAUUUCACUGACCAAUAUCAGUGAUAAUGGCUAACGCUAUAUCCAUAAAAACAUAGAUUUCUGCACUGGGUUGCACCAACUAUGUGUAAGCUGGCAUGAGCCACUUGGCAUCGUAGCACAUUGUAGUAAACCGGAUCAAUAGUGAAAUAUCAUGUCAAUAAAUUAGGUCUCUACUGGAUUACUGUGUUGCUAAAUGGCAGCAAUUAAAGUUAUGUUGUAACUUAUCUCCGUGGUCAAAGCUUUUAUUUUAGUGAUGCAUAAAUCACAACUUAGUGAUAAUAAUUUACGUUAUAACUAAGUUUGAACUGACACACAGCUGGUGCAACAGGCUGCAGCAGUUGUUUGUCUACUCUGCAGCUACAUGUUUUUGCUUGUAACAGGCUGAUAUCUACUCUAUAACUGUCCAGAUGCACUCAGGAAAUAUCUGCAGAAGCCUCCAGCUGCUGGAGAAGUUACAUCUGAUCUCCCAUCUACACCACUCUCUGAAGCAGAUUUACCUGCAGGUGAAGCAACAACAGACACAACAGACACUUCUACUACUCUACAGCCUGCAGACACCAUCAACUGGAACAGAUCCUGAAGUAUGUGAGUCCAUCAAGGCAGCAGCUAUAGAUCCUGCUGACUGGCAGCCCUGUCUGAUAUGGUGAGGACAGAGAUAGUCAGCAGAGGCCAUAUCAGCUAAAAUAAGACUCUACAUUUACAAAAUGAGAGGAUGGGAGAAGUUCCCAUCACCACCACUUCUACAGAAAAUAAGUGAAUGGAGAGAAAAUCAAGAGAAGUUGGUUGGGUAUAUUCCAAGAAA